UAGCUAGAUGGGGAAGAGAAGUGAAGU
This 27-nucleotide non-coding RNA is filed under the name Rattus norvegicus (Norway rat). The record is from RNAcentral. Lineage: Eukaryota; Metazoa; Chordata; Mammalia; Rodentia; Muridae.